UACAGAGGUCUCAAGCGUUGUUCGGAUUCAUUGGGCGUAAAGGGUGCGUAGGUGGCGGGGUAAGUCAGGUGUGAAAUCUCGGGGCUCAACUCCGAAACUGCACUUGAUACUGCCUUGCUCGAGUACUGGAGAGGAGAUUGGAAUUUACGGUGUAGCAGUGAAAUGCGUAGAUAUCGUAAGGAAGACCAGUGGCGAAGGCGAAUCUCUGGACAGUUACUGACACUGGGGCACGAAGGCCAGGGGAGCAAACAGG
This 253-nucleotide ribosomal RNA is filed under the name uncultured bacterium. RNAcentral's name for it is "partial 16S ribosomal RNA". It matches the Rfam family "Bacterial small subunit ribosomal RNA", at positions 524 to 776 of the family's 1533-position model. The record is from RNAcentral.